CCUACGGGAGGCAGCAGUGAGGAAUAUUGGUCAAUGGGCGCGAGCCUGAACCAGCCAAGUAGCGUGAAGGAUGACUGCCCUACGGGUUGUAAACUUCUUUUAUCAAGGAAUAAAGUGAGGCACGUGUGCCUUUUUGUAUGUACUUUAUGAAUAAGGAUCGGCUAACUCCGUGCCAGCAGCCGCGGUAAUACGGAGGAUCCGAGCGUUAUCCGGAUUUAUUGGGUUUAAAGGGAGCGUAGGUGGGUUGUUAAGUCAGUUGUGAAAGUUUGCGGCUCAACCGUAGAAUUGCAAUUGAUACUGGCAGCCUUGAGUACAGUUGAGGUAGGCGGAAUUCGUGGUGUAGCGGUGAAAUGCUUAGAUAUCACGAAGAACCCCGAUUGCGAAGACAGCUUACUAAACUGUGACUGACAUUGAGGCUCGAAAGUGUGGGUAUCAAACAGGAUUAGAUACCCCUGUAGUC
Molecule: ribosomal RNA, 460 nt
Filed under: uncultured bacterium
Lineage: Bacteria
Description: partial 16S ribosomal RNA
Rfam family: Bacterial small subunit ribosomal RNA
Source: RNAcentral